UGUAGGAGCCGGCUUGCCGGCGAUGCAGGCAACUCGGUCUAUCUGGCACACCGAGGUGACGCUAUCGCCGGCAAGCCAGCUCCUACA
Molecule: unclassified non-coding RNA, 87 nt
Filed under: Pseudomonas brenneri
Lineage: Bacteria; Pseudomonadati; Pseudomonadota; Gammaproteobacteria; Pseudomonadales; Pseudomonadaceae
Source: RNAcentral